GCUUUUGCUAGUUGAGAAGGGAAAUGUGAUAAAGUGGAAACUCAAUUUCUGAGCUGCCCAGGUCACUUGAAAAGAUUGUAGAAACCUCCAGCACUCUGUGGCUUGUGGACACUUUAUUUUCAGAACUAGAAAAAUGGAGUAUGUCUCAUGCUGCCUUGCUCUGACCUUCAGCAUCCUCCUACUUUUCCUUUAUGAGAUAUUGUAACUACUCUGGCUGUGUGGACCAUCCUGGACAUUCCCUUCAUCAACUGAUUAAAACGUGAAUUGCAUCUUC
RNAcentral lists this long non-coding RNA (274 nucleotides) under Mus spretus (western wild mouse). Its description in RNAcentral is "lncRNA (ENSMSPG00010049727.1)". The record is from RNAcentral. Lineage: Eukaryota; Metazoa; Chordata; Mammalia; Rodentia; Muridae.